AGCUUGAUGAUGAUUGUCUCUCAUGAUUGCUUGCUAAAAGCGAAGUGAUCCAUCAUUUCACCGACACUGAAAGCA
This 75-nucleotide small nucleolar RNA is filed under the name Chaetura pelagica (chimney swift). Its description in RNAcentral is "Small nucleolar RNA SNORD102". It matches the Rfam family "Small nucleolar RNA SNORD102". From Rfam's summary of the family: snoRNA U102 is a member of the C/D class of snoRNA which contain the C (UGAUGA) and D (CUGA) box motifs. It is found within intron 3 of the L21 ribosomal protein gene. The H/ACA box snoRNA ACA27 is found in the same host gene within a different intron. Lineage: Eukaryota; Metazoa; Chordata; Aves; Apodiformes; Apodidae. The record is from Rfam by way of RNAcentral.